Molecule: long non-coding RNA, 581 nt
Organism: Bubalus bubalis (water buffalo)
Lineage: Eukaryota; Metazoa; Chordata; Mammalia; Artiodactyla; Bovidae
Exons: 2
Source: RefSeq, a predicted model, not a curated record
AUGAAGUCUCUUGCGUUUGGCUUCUUUUACUCAGCUUAGUAUGUCUGAGACAUGUCUAUGGUUUUUUUUGUUUUGUUUUGUUUGGUGGGGGGAUGAUUUGGCUUUGGAGCUUAGGAGGAUCUUAGUUCCCGGACCUGGGACUGAACCUGUGUCCUAGGCAGUGAAAGUCCUAACUGCUGGGCCGCCGAAGAAUUCCCUAUGUCCAUGUUGUGUUUGACUUUCCUAGUGGCUCUGGUAAAGAAUUUGCCUGCCAAUGCAGGAGCCGCAGGUUCGAUCCUUGGAUCAGAUUCACUCUGGAUGUUUUCCUGGAGCCAGGGUCAUGCUGCGUGGAUGACUGUGCAUUUCGCUAUUUGCUCAGGCAGGUGUCACCUCGCCGUUCAGGAGUCUUGGCCUCAGAGGCUGUUGAGGACGGUGCAUAUGACCUGACUCUCCACUGACAGCCAACUGGCCGCGUGAGGGCGCCGGUGCCGGACCCAGCACCUGGUGUGACGAAUGGAGCUCAGAGUCGCCAUAUCUGUGAUGGUUGAAUCACAUGCACUUGGUUGGGAAGAGAGGAAAGAGAUGAAACUCUGUGACUGUGA